GCCAGGCAUGGUGGCGCAUGCCUGUAAUCCCAGCUUCUCGGGAGGCUGAGGCAGGAGAGUCGCUUGAACCUGGGAGGCGGAGGUUGCAGUGAGCCGAGAUCCUGCCACUGCACUCCAGCCUGGGGGAUAGAGCGAGACUCUGUCUCAA
Molecule: non-coding RNA, 148 nt
Filed under: Nomascus leucogenys (northern white-cheeked gibbon)
Lineage: Eukaryota; Metazoa; Chordata; Mammalia; Primates; Hylobatidae
Source: Rfam by way of RNAcentral